GUACGUUUUCACCUCGGGUGACAGGGAGACAGGUGGUGCAUGGUUGUCGUCAGCUCGUGUCGUGAGAUGUUGGGUUAAGUCCCGCAACGAGCGCAACCCCUACGUUUAGUUGCUAACGCGUGAAGGCGAGCACUCUAGACGAACUGCCGUUGACAAAAACGGAGGAAGUGGGAUGACGUCAAAUCAUCAUGCCCCUUAUGUUCUGGGCUACACACGUGCUACAAUGGCCGGUACAGACGGACGCAAAGCCGCGAGGUGGAGCAAAUCCUAAAAAGCCGGUCUCAGUUCGGAUUGCAGGCUGCAAUUCGCCUGCAUGAAGUCGGAAUCGCUAGUAAUCGCAGGUCAGCAUACUGCGGUGAAUACGUUCCCGGGCCUU
This 376-nucleotide ribosomal RNA is filed under the name uncultured Pelotomaculum sp. Its description in RNAcentral is "bacterial SSU rRNA". It matches the Rfam family "Bacterial small subunit ribosomal RNA", at positions 1007 to 1382 of the family's 1533-position model. The record is from RNAcentral. Lineage: Bacteria; Bacillati; Bacillota; Clostridia; Eubacteriales; Desulfotomaculaceae.